This 253-nucleotide ribosomal RNA is filed under the name uncultured bacterium. RNAcentral's name for it is "partial 16S ribosomal RNA". It matches the Rfam family "Bacterial small subunit ribosomal RNA", at positions 524 to 776 of the family's 1533-position model. The record is from RNAcentral.
UACGUAGGAGGCAAACGUUGUUCGGAAUUACUGGGCGUAAAGCGCGUGUAGGCGGCUAUGUAAGUCGGGCGUGAAAUCCCACGGCUCAACCGUGGAAGUGCACCCGAAACUGCGUAGCUAGAGUCCUGGAGAGGAAGGUGGAAUGCUUGGUGUAGAGGUGAAAUUCGUAGAUAUCAAGCGGAACACCGGUGGCGAAGGCGGCCUUCUGGACAGUGACUGACGCUGAGACGCGAAAGCGUGGGGAGCAAACAGG